UGAGGAAUAUUGCACAAUGGGGGGAACCCUGAUGCAGCAACGCCGCGUGGAGGAUGACGCAUUUCGGUGUGUAAACUCCUUUUAUAUGUCAAGAAAAUGACGGUAGCAUAUGAAUAAGCACCGGCUAACUCCGUGCCAGCAGCCGCGGUAAUACGGAGGGUGCAAGCGUUACUCGGAAUCACUGGGCGUAAAGGACGCGUAGGCUGUUUGGCAAGUCAGAUGUGAAAUCCUAUGGCUCAACCAUAGAACUGCAUUUGAAACUGCCAGACUAGAGUAUGGGAGGGGGAGAUGGAAUUAGUGGUGUAGGGGUAAAAUCCGUAGAUAUCACUAGGAAUACCUAAAGCGAAGGCGAUCUCCUGGAACAUUACUGACGCUAAGGCGUGAAAGCGUGGGGAGCAAA
RNAcentral lists this ribosomal RNA (400 nucleotides) under uncultured bacterium. RNAcentral's name for it is "bacterial SSU rRNA". It matches the Rfam family "Bacterial small subunit ribosomal RNA", at positions 355 to 772 of the family's 1533-position model. The record is from RNAcentral.